AACGAACGCUGGCGGCAUGCCUAACACAUGCAAGUCGAACGAGACCUUCGGGUCUAGUGGCGCACGGGUGCGUAACGCGUGGGAACCUGCCCUUAGGUUCGGAAUAACUCCCCGAAAGGGGUGCUAAUACCGGAUAAUGUCUUCGGACCAAAGAUUUAUCGCCUUUGGAUGGGGCCGCGUUGGAUUAGCUGGUUGGUAGGGUAAAAGCCUACCAAGGCGAGGAUCCAUAGCUGGUCUGGGAUGAUGAUCAGCCACACUGGGACUGAGACACGGCCCAGACUCCUACGGGGGGCAGCAGUGGAGAAUAUUAGACAAUGGGCCAAAGCCUGAUCCAGCAAUGCCGCGUAAGUGAUGAAGCCGUUAGGGUUGUAAAGCUCUUUUACCCGAGAUGAUAGUGACAGUACCGGGAGAAUAAGCACCGGCUAACUCCGUG
Molecule: ribosomal RNA, 433 nt
Filed under: uncultured bacterium
Lineage: Bacteria
Description: partial 16S ribosomal RNA
Rfam family: Bacterial small subunit ribosomal RNA
Source: RNAcentral